UCAGUACACGUAGUCAACAUGCCCAGGGACGUGGAUAACUCGGGAAACUGAGGAUAAACCGCGAUAAGUCACUACUUCUGGAAUGGGUAAUGACUUAAAUCUAUAUGGCCCCUGGAUUGGACUGCGGCCGAUCAGGCUGUUGGUGAGGUAAUGGCCCACCAAACCUGUAACCGGUACGGGCUCUGAGAGGAGGAGCCCGGAGAUGGGCACUGAGACAAGGGCCCAGGCCCUAUGGGGCGCAGCAGGCGCGAAACCUCUGCAAUAGGCGAAAGCCUGACAGGGUUACUCUGAGUGAUUUUCCGUUAAGGAGAUCUUUUGGCACCUCUAAAAAUGGUUGCAGAAUAAAAGGGGGG
This 353-nucleotide ribosomal RNA is filed under the name unidentified archaeon. RNAcentral describes it as "bacterial SSU rRNA". It matches the Rfam family "Archaeal small subunit ribosomal RNA", at positions 90 to 446 of the family's 1478-position model. The record is from RNAcentral.